This 468-nucleotide ribosomal RNA is filed under the name uncultured bacterium. RNAcentral's name for it is "partial 16S ribosomal RNA". It matches the Rfam family "Bacterial small subunit ribosomal RNA", at positions 28 to 507 of the family's 1533-position model. The record is from RNAcentral.
GACGAACGCUGGCGGCGUGCUUAACACAUGCAAGUCGAACGGAAAGGCACUGCUUUUGUGGGGUGACCGAGUGGCGAACGGGUGAGUAACACGUGAGUAACCUGAUCUUGACUUUGGGAUAACUUAAGGAAACUGGGGCUAAUCUAGGAUAGGAGCUCAUGCAGCAUGGAGGGGGUUGGAAAGUUUCGGCGGUUGGGGAUGGACGCGCGGCUUAUGAGCUUGCUGGUGGGGUAGGCGCAUACCAAGUAUUUGGCGGGUAGCUGGCCUGAGAGGGUGACCAGCGACAUGAGGACUAAGAGACGGCCCAGUCGCCUACGGGGGGCAGCGGUGGGGAAUAUUGCACAAUGAUCGGAAGCCUGAUGCGACAACCCCGCGUUCGUAAUGACGUCCUUCUGGUUGUAAACCGCUUUCGCCUGUUACGAAGCUUGAGUGACGGUAAUGAGUAAAUAAGCACCGGCUAACUACGUG